GUCUAAGGCCAUGCUACCCUGAAUAUGCCAGAUUUCAUAUGAUCUCAGAAGCUAAGCAGGGUCAGGCCUGGUUAGUACUUGAAUGAAAGACCACCUAGGAAUGCUAGGCGCUGUAGGCA
This is a ribosomal RNA of Pteropus vampyrus (large flying fox), 119 nucleotides long. Lineage: Eukaryota; Metazoa; Chordata; Mammalia; Chiroptera; Pteropodidae. The record is from Ensembl.